RNAcentral lists this ribosomal RNA (429 nucleotides) under Actinomycetes bacterium. Its description in RNAcentral is "Actinobacteria bacterium partial 16S ribosomal RNA". It matches the Rfam family "Bacterial small subunit ribosomal RNA", at positions 355 to 776 of the family's 1533-position model. Lineage: Bacteria; Bacillati; Actinomycetota; Actinomycetes. The record is from RNAcentral.
UAGGGAAUCUUCCGCAAUGGGCGAAAGCCUGACGGAGCAACGCCGCGUGAGUGAUGAAGGUCUUCGGAUCGUAAAACUCUGUUAUUAGGGAAGAACAAAUGUGUAAGUAACUAUGCACGUCUUGACGGUACCUAAUCAGAAAGCCACGGCUAACUACGUGCCAGCAGCCGCGGUAAUACGUAGGUGGCAAGCGUUAUCCGGAAUUAUUGGGCGUAAAGCGCGCGUAGGCGGUUUUUUAAGUCUGAUGUGAAAGCCCACGGCUCAACCGUGGAGGGUCAUUGGAAACUGGAAAACUUGAGUGCAGAAGAGGAAAGUGGAAUUCCAUGUGUAGCGGUGAAAUGCGCAGAGAUAUGGAAGAACACCAGUGGCGAAGGCGACUUUCUGGUCUGUAACUGACGCUGAUGUGCGAAAGCGUGGGGAUCAAACAGG